Cyprinodon tularosa is the source of this 1338-nucleotide long non-coding RNA. RefSeq lists it as uncharacterized. Lineage: Eukaryota; Metazoa; Chordata; Actinopteri; Cyprinodontiformes; Cyprinodontidae. The record is from RefSeq and is a predicted model, not a curated record. The transcript has 3 exons.
UGACCACAGACUUUGAUCCGCUGGCUGGGAACCUUUUCCUGUCCGCCUGGAUCUUGGUGGGAGUGGUUCUCACUGCUUUGAUCAAGUCUGACCUGAAGCGGCACAACGUCAACAUGGCGACGGAGGGCCGGCCGCUUCCCUCGGGAGGGCCCGGCGGCUGUCCUGCAGAGACCAAAACCAACGAAGUCCAGCUGGAGCCUUCCCUCAGCUUCACCAGAGAAACGUCUCUGUGACCGCGGGCCGCAGGAGCGUCGCCGUAGCUCCCGUUGCCAUGGAUGCUGCUCUGACAGAGAACAUUCCUCAUCGCCGCGGUGUUUCCCUCUGAGGGGAUGGAAGCUGCUCGUUAAGCUCCUCCACCAGAACCGGGUCCAUCCAGACUGGAUCCAGGCAGAACUUGGUUAAAACAGCAGCAGCUUAUUCCAUCUGAAUGUAGCUUUGUUUUGGACCGGCUGCUUCCAGAACCUGGAACUUAAACGCCCAGAUGGUCCUGGAUCUACAGGAAACUCCCCAUUUGCUCCUCCAGGAGCUUUGUGGGCGGAGCUUCAGGGAUGUGGGGCGUUUUCAGGGACCCAUCAGUCCCUGUUGACCAAAGCCAGAGCGGCGUCUCGCUCCCGUCUGUAGAUCCUGGACGGUUCUCAGGUUCUGGAAGGUUGCUGGUUCUGGAGAGACCAGGAUGAGAUGAAGCUCCUGCAGGUGUGGGGCCACCUGGGGGUGGGGUGGGGGGGGGGGUUACUGGACCAGAACUUCAGCUGAAUCUCACGUUUAUUUCAGUGAAUCUUAUGACUUUCAUUUAGACAAAGGACGUAAAUAUGAAUGGAGCUAAUUAUUCAACUCUGAAUCAUUUCAACUUUCAUUCAAAAGAAAAUAAUUUAUUAACAAAAAUCUUUUAGCUCCAAGUCAAACAGACCAAACUAAACGGAGCUUCUGGAUGGAAGAAACGACCAUUAAAUGAUGCAAUGGUCACGGCCCAGCAGCAGGUUUAUGACCGAGAACCAAACGGGACCAAAUUAGCUUUAAAACUAAUUUAGAGAAAUUAGUUUGAGUUCAAAUUGAUUCAUAAUCCAAGGAAUUAAAUGAUUUCCCUAAAUUAGAAAUAACCUUUUAGAUAAAAGAGUGUUAACCUUCUGGGAUUGAGGGAAUAAAGAGGCGAUGGAGAAAAUGGCGGCGUGUCAUGGUGGAUGAUGUGCCUCUGCAGGAACAUCAUCUCUAACCUUUCAGGUUCAUUUACACUCAGAAAUCUGGUAUUUACUAGAUUUAUUCUUCUGGUUUUGGCACCAGUGUCGUUUAUUUGUGAUCUUUCUGACGGUGGGCGGACUGGAAAUGAGACUAGAGAGAAGC